UUCAAGAUCAACUCACACCUCUGUAUGUGGCAGUAUUGUUGUCAUUUCAAUGAGGGGGAUUUCUGAGGUGAUGGACAAUAAUUGACAGUUGGCAUAAUGGCAUUCUGAAAUGUCCACUGCUUUGCUUCUGGAAGUGAAAAUAGAGUUGGAUUGUGAAGUGGAGUGUUGGUGAGAGGUGGGGGCAAAAGAGGGAGGUGUUCUAAUGCAAGCAGCUCUCAACAUGCGUGUGCAGACUGGAAGAGUGGAUGUGUAGCUCCUUCGGUUGACUGUCCCCUGUGUCACUGAACUUAAGGAGCUGUUGCUGAGAGAAAUGUCUUCUUUACAGGGUAGCUGAUGGGAACUGAAGAGAUGAAACCAGGCCUCACUGAUUCAGAGAUAGGAUGGAAGUGCAUGAAGCACUGUAAAUAAACUACAGUAUAUGACUUGCAGCUCCACAGGCAGCUUGUGUGAUCAUUAUGCUGGAAGAUUUUUAGGGAGCAGUUGCAAGGCAGAGUACAAGCGAAUGAUGGAGAUGUUACAAGACUUGGGCUUUUGUGAUGUGAGAUGGCAGUUUCUCUGGAGCCACCAUCUGCUGAGAGGGUCAGGCAGCAUGUAGGGUUCAAAUCUCCUGGAUUCUGCCUGCUUCCCAGCUGCCAUGCCCAAGCAUCUCCGAAAUCCACACACAACCGCACUUGCACACCUCAUUAUUAUCACACAUACUCGCAGACACCCAUAAUCCCAGGCAUGCUGUGCUGCUGAAACCAUUCUCAUCAGGGCUGACACUAAAGAAUGUUGGGAUUCUUGUCUUGAGGUACCCGAGUUACCUCCUCCCUCUUCGGGUUUGUGCAGAAUCCACACAUUCUGUUGAAGCCAUGCGCCCACACUACAUCAGCUCUGCAUGUGACCACUGCUCCACUGUGCUCUAUUCAGCAUGGUGACCCAAACUUUGCUCACAUUCCAUAAACUUUCUUUGGCCCAUUUUGCCCAGCAGCCUGUACCUCAACCCUUUCUACACGCCCCAAGCCAGAGGAGAGAAAACAGUCUUCCAUAUUUUUUAGUAAAAGCUGCUUGUCACAAUUUUUUGUGGUCCAUAUAUCAUGUGCCUGUUUUCUGUGCUGUUCCCUAGGCCAAACUCUUACUCGGUCCAACCCUGUGAGGAUUUGUUUUGGAUGUUUUUUCAAGUGAUUUAUUUUUUUGCCAUUAUUCUAUUAGCUUCAAACCACAACUGUAAGGUUAAGUUUCUCUAAGCUUUGCACAGCCCCUCAAGGGCACUUAUUAAAUUAAAACUGUAUUGCUCCGCAUUGAAAAA
Molecule: long non-coding RNA, 1288 nt
Organism: Carassius gibelio (silver crucian carp)
Lineage: Eukaryota; Metazoa; Chordata; Actinopteri; Cypriniformes; Cyprinidae
Exons: 3
Source: RefSeq, a predicted model, not a curated record